Drosophila albomicans is the source of this 1188-nucleotide long non-coding RNA. RefSeq lists it as uncharacterized. NCBI's taxonomy places the organism in Eukaryota, Metazoa, Arthropoda, Insecta, Diptera, Drosophilidae. The transcript has 3 exons. The record is from RefSeq and is a predicted model, not a curated record.
UGACGGCUUAUCCUUGUCCCGAAAACUGCUUUUGAUGGACUGCCUAUAAAAUGUGAAAGAGAGCAGAAAAAAAGAUGAAUUUAGCUGGGAAUAAAGACAAGUGGACAUGCGGUUGGGUUGCUUCUGCAAACUUUUGGCUAAGCUACUUAAGCGUUAUGGAGAAUUUCAAGCUGAACCACAAGUAAUAUUCUGUUGGAGUCAAGAUAUCUUGGUUUUCGCGCCGCACAGCCCCAGGACACGCCUCCACGCGUAGACAGAACAAAGCUUUAAGAGAACGACCACGGCGAGUGAGUCUCACUCUUGACGAUGUGUGCUAUGACUGAUUUGAACAAUUGACUUUAACCAAACACAGCCCGAAGCCACAACAUACCAAGCAACCACACACACAGACACAUUCAUAAACACUCGCACUCUUUGGUUUCGAGUAUAUAUGAAUGCGAGUGUCUAGUCGAGCUUGUUGCAGGAGUGCCGAGCGCCGAGCGCCGUGAGCGUUUGCUGGAGUGUAAUGUAUACGAUAUAUACUCAUAAAUACUUAUUUGUAUUCGCAUUAUUGAAUGGCAAUUACGGCUUGUGUUACAAUUUGUUGCCUAUUUGGAGCUAUUUGUUAUGAUGUGAUGUGAGCCAACAAAUCAAAUGCAAGUUAAAAACAAUGCGAGUGGAAAAUUCAAAUGCAGACAAUAAAGAAAAUUGCAAAGUAGUUUCAUUUCCAAUCCACACAAAAAAUAACAUGCAAACAUUGUCUGCAAUCGAUUGCGACUACUACACAUUGUAAACCAAGCCGAGACUCAUUCUAUGUAGUUGUUGUGGGCUGGCUGCAUUCAUCGAACACAAAUCCAAAUUAUUGUUAUUUCUCUUUUGCUUUGAUUGGAUGUAUUGUCGACUUCUAUUACACUGGCCUUCCUUUAACCCCUCUCACGAUCUCUCGCUCUCGUUCUCAGUACAAAGUCUCGUGGGGCAGCUGCUGUACUGCUUUGCUCUCGACAGCGCGACAGAGCGUGUGAUAAGAAGGAGACCCUGUUUGUUGAACCUACAGCACAAACAGACUGAUAGACAGACGGAUGGACAGCUAAGAGCGGGUCGACAAACCUUAAAUGAAUUUGAUAGAUGCAUCGUGUUCAGCCAAUUUUAAAUUUGGCAAUUUUAAUAAAUGCGCGAGUGCGAGUGCAAGUGGAACCUGUGCUCACUCAA